Long non-coding RNA from Lineus longissimus, 1051 nucleotides. RefSeq lists it as uncharacterized. The transcript is spliced from 6 exons. Lineage: Eukaryota; Metazoa; Nemertea; Pilidiophora; Heteronemertea; Lineidae. The record is from RefSeq and is a predicted model, not a curated record.
GUCUUUCCAUGCGAGUGACAUAAACCUACAUCAGUCUUGAUUCAUGCCUUUCAUCAGAGAGAUACAUGAGAUAAACAAAAAAAAAUUCAAUUUCUUGCGGCUGGGAUAGUUUAAACAGAAUAGCUAGAGAGGAUAUACCUAUCCAGAUAAAGACAUCUUCCCCACCAUCAUCCGCAAGUGGAGCACGAUAAUCAUCUGCCGUGUAGUCCAGUUCAUUAUCUGACAACACGGAAUAAUCAGCAUAGAUUGACGAGGAAGCUGUUCUGACAUCUAGAUAUACCUAUCCAGAUAAAGACAUCUUCCCCACCACCAUCCGCAAGUGGAGCACGAUAAUCAUCUGCCGUGUGGUCCAGUUCAUCAUCUGACAACAAGGCAUAAUCAGCAUAGAUUGACGAGGAAGCUGUUCUGACAUCUAGAUAUACCUAUCCAGAUAAGGACAUCUUCCCCACCACCAUCCGCAAGUGGAGCACGAUAAUCAUCUGUCGUGUAGUCCAGUUCAUCAUCUGACAACAAGGCAUAAUCAGCAUAGAUUGACGAGGAAGCUGUUCUGACAUCGAUUAUAACUCAUCAAUAAAAGCAGAAUACGCGAGUCAAUCGAAGUCAAAGGAACACAUAUCUGACCUUGAUAGAGGCUGCAAAUGAUUGUCAACAAGAUUUACCCCCACGAAUUCACAUAGAUGCCAGCAUAAACUUAAGAAGAACGAAUCCUAGAUGCAUUAAAGAACACAAAGAGCUGAGCUGGCCUCAAGUUCAAGAUUGUGAAGGAAGACCUGGUAAAGCCCACUUUAACCACAGAAGGAUAUAUAUAUAUAUUUCAUUUACCCGGCACCGAAUUACACAACUCGCGAGCCAAAGAAGGCUUAUCUGACACUGAUAAUUAAUUCCUGUUUGAUAAGAGGGCUACAGACAUCGAAUGAGAUGUCGUCAUGGAUGUGAAGGAGAAAACAGUGACUGAUGCAAUGGAUGAUGAUGGUAUGCUCGCGUCGACGGUCCCGCUCGCGUCAACGAUCCCGCUCACGUCGGCGGUCCCGCCCGCGUCAAUGGUCCCGCU